GCGGGUGUAGCUCAAUGGCAGAGCACCUGCCUUCCAAGCAGGAUGUUGUGGGUUCGAGUCCCAUCGCCCGCU
Molecule: transfer RNA, 72 nt
Filed under: Planctomycetota bacterium
Lineage: Bacteria; Pseudomonadati; Planctomycetota
Description: Planctomycetes bacterium tRNA-Gly
Rfam family: tRNA
About the family: Transfer RNA (tRNA) molecules are approximately 80 nucleotides in length. Their secondary structure includes four short double-helical elements and three loops (D, anti-codon, and T loops). Further hydrogen bonds mediate the characteristic L-shaped molecular structure. tRNAs have two regions of fundamental functional importance: the anti-codon, which is responsible for specific mRNA codon recognition, and the 3' end, to which the tRNAs corresponding amino acid is attached (by aminoacyl-tRNA synthetases). tRNAs cope with the degeneracy of the genetic code in two manners: having more than one tRNA (with a specific anti-codon) for a particular amino acid; and 'wobble' base-pairing, i.e. permitting non-standard base-pairing at the 3rd anti-codon position.
Source: RNAcentral